Molecule: ribosomal RNA, 250 nt
Filed under: uncultured bacterium
Lineage: Bacteria
Description: partial 16S ribosomal RNA
Rfam family: Bacterial small subunit ribosomal RNA
Source: RNAcentral
UGAGGAAUAUUGGGCAAUGGGCGAAAGCCUGACCCAGCCACGCCGCGUGAGUGAUGAAGGCCUUCGGGUCGUAAAGCUCUGUGGAGAGGGACGAAAACCCUGGUUUCAAAUAGGCUCCAGGCUUGACGGUACCUCUUUAGCAAGCACCGGCUAACUCUGUGCCAGCAGCCGCGGUAAUACAGAGGGUGCAAACGUUGCUCGGAUUUACUGGGCGUAAAGCGCGUGUAGGCGGGUUCGCAAGUCGGACGUG